CCUUCAUUGUGAAAGUACCGUAGGUUAUGAGACAAAGUUCCACUGGCUAGCAAAAGACCUUUCCAGAGCUCCAAUUACCGACAUGUGCCUACUACAUAGAGGAUGAUAACAUUUCUCCAUUUUUCAGGUUCCUUCUCAACUUCACUCUUUGAUAAUUCAACCCAUUCUGCAAAUUAGAAGCAACAAAGUUUAAGUUCAUUCCUCUUAGUCCAGAUACGUUAUUGCCCACCAGAUUUGCCCAUGUCUUAUUCUCAGAGCCCUUCACUCGUGGUUCUUCCAGUAUCAACUGCAUCUCUGUCCCUUUUUCAUUUCCUUGUGCCUUAAUUUCAACAUUGGUUGCUCUCCACUCGCAUGUGAUGUACCCAUUGUCUAAGGUAUUGUUUCUGUGUUUUGAUUAUUGCUAAUUUGCAUAAUUCCUGCUGUAAUUGC
This 429-nucleotide long non-coding RNA is filed under the name Nicotiana benthamiana. RNAcentral describes it as "long non-coding RNA (NBEN_LNC036054)". Lineage: Eukaryota; Viridiplantae; Streptophyta; Magnoliopsida; Solanales; Solanaceae. The record is from RNAcentral.